RNAcentral lists this ribosomal RNA (484 nucleotides) under uncultured bacterium. RNAcentral's name for it is "partial 16S ribosomal RNA". It matches the Rfam family "Bacterial small subunit ribosomal RNA", at positions 30 to 507 of the family's 1533-position model. The record is from RNAcentral.
AUUGAACGCUGGCGGCAGGCCUAACACAUGCAAGUCGAGCGGAUGAAGGGAGCUUGCUCCUGGAUUCAGCGGCGGACGGGUGAGUAAUGCCUAGGAAUCUGCCUGGUAGUGGGGGAUAACGUCCGGAAACGGGCGCUAAUACCGCAUACGUCCUGAGGGAGAAAGUGGGGGAUCUUCGGACCUCACGCUAUCAGAUGAGCCUAGGUCGGAUUAGCUAGUUGGUGGGGUAAAGGCCUACCAAGGCGACGAUCCGUAACUGGUCUGAGAGGAUGAUCGGUCACACUGGAACUGAGACACGGUCCAGACUCCUACGGGAGGCAGCAGUGGGGAAUAUUGGACAAUGGGCGAAAGCCUGAUCCAGCCAUGCCGCGUGUGUGAAGAAGGUCUUCGGAUUGUAAAGCACUUUAAGUUGGGAGGAAGGGAAGUAAGUUAAUACAUUGCUGUUUUGACGUUACCAACACAAUAAGCACCGGCUAACUUCGUG